AGAAUAUAGAGUAUUUAUCACAUCUGAUUAUUUAAUAUGGUUGCUAUAUAUCUAUAUAUCUAUCUACAAUGAUAAGCAAUAUAUUUCCUGGGCUAUUAUUACACUGCCCUUGACAAAUUUCUCCAUAUUUAAACGUAUAUACAUAUAUACUUCACAUCUUAUACCGAAAUUAAAGCUCAAAUCUUAAGUUUCAUGUCAAUACAGAGAUUAAAUAAAAUGGACAUAUUUAAUUGAGUAAGCGGGGCUUUUUAUUUAGUUAUUAGUAUUUAUAAUACAUGAAACACCUCUCAGUUUGGAUUCAAACGUUUAACUGUUCAAAGAUCAAACCAAAGAAUCAAACCAAAAAAAAUUAACCUGGAUCUAAGGCCUUUUAUGUGAUUAGAGGGACUGUAGAUGUAAUUUCAAGUAAUCCUCCAUUCACAGAGUGGCAUGUGGGAUUCACAACGUUACACGCCCUAUAAUGAGACGAGAAUACGAGAAUACCACUUUCGUUUGCGUUGAAGGGAUCUUGAAAUAAGGAAGAAAUGUACUUACACCUUGUUCUUAUCCUGCUUGGGACGCCAUCUUCUGAAUCGGAAAAGCAGCCCAGGUUGAGGAAAAGAGAAACCUUCUCACAUGAAAACUUUCCCUUUCGAAGAAAAUAUUUACCAAGAAAUAUCAAAUUUUAUUCCCAACAUCAAGAAUACGGAACUAGACAAGCGGAUAUAAUGUUAAACACCGGAAGUAAGGCUGCCUAUUGGGGGGAUAGGCGCCAAGAAAUAAAUCAAGGUAACCAAUGGAGGGACCUGUACAAAAAUAACAAACGGGAUAAUAUGAGGUUUACAACAAGAAAAGGUCGUCUUCCCAUCAACCCACAUGGACCAAUUAAUAGAAGAAAUACCAGUUGGAAAUGGCUGACCGAUAUUCUACCAAUAAGAUACACACCUAGAAAUGUUAGAAGAGAAAAAUCAAGGAUUUUUCCAAACAGGUGAAUAUUAAUAUUCAUUUUUCCA
Molecule: long non-coding RNA, 992 nt
Filed under: Eurytemora carolleeae
Lineage: Eukaryota; Metazoa; Arthropoda; Copepoda; Calanoida; Temoridae
Description: uncharacterized LOC111707493
Source: RNAcentral